RNAcentral lists this ribosomal RNA (492 nucleotides) under uncultured bacterium. RNAcentral describes it as "partial 16S ribosomal RNA". It matches the Rfam family "Bacterial small subunit ribosomal RNA", at positions 29 to 507 of the family's 1533-position model. The record is from RNAcentral.
AGUGAACGCUGGCGGUAGGCCUAACACAUGCAAGUCGAACGGCAGCACAGUAAGAGCUUGCUCUUACGGUUGGCGAGUGGCGGACGGGUGAGGAAUACAUCGGAAUCUACUUUUUCGUGGGGGAUAACGUAGGGAAACUUACGCUAAUACCGCAUACGACCUACGGGUGAAAUCAGGGGAUCUUCGGACCUUGCGCGAUUGAAUGAGCCGAUGUCGGAUUAGCUAGUUGGCGGGGUAAAGGCCCACCAAGGCGACGAUCCGUAGCUGGUCUGAGAGGAUGAUCAGCCACACUGGAACUGAGACACGGUCCAGACUCCUACGGGAGGCAGCAGUGGGGAAUAUUGGACAAUGGGCGCAAGCCUGACCCAGCCAUACCGCGUGGGUGAAGAAGGCCUUCGGGUUGUAAAGCCCUUUUGUUGGGAAAGAAAAGCAGCAGGUUAAUACCCCGCUGUUCUGACGGUACCCAAAGAAUAAGCACCGGCUAACUUCGUG